Molecule: microRNA precursor, 94 nt
Filed under: Paramuricea clavata
Lineage: Eukaryota; Metazoa; Cnidaria; Anthozoa; Malacalcyonacea; Plexauridae
Source: RNAcentral
UAAUCGUGAUGAUGGUAAUGAUGAUGGUGAUGACGACGAUGUGAUGAUAGUAUGAUUAUGAUAAUCAUCACCAUCAUCACCAUUACCAUCUCCA